Molecule: long non-coding RNA, 3569 nt
Filed under: Brassica napus (rape)
Lineage: Eukaryota; Viridiplantae; Streptophyta; Magnoliopsida; Brassicales; Brassicaceae
Description: long non-coding RNA (BNAP_LNC010120)
Source: RNAcentral
UGCGGUGUUGUUACCGGACGGUCGGGUUUUAGUCGGUGGUAGUAAUCCUCACAUUUAUUACAACUUCACCAACGUCGAGUAUCCAACGGAAUUAAGCCUCGAGGCUUACUCUCCUCCCUACCUCUCUUUCACGUCUGACUCAAUAAGACCACAUAUAUUGACCAACGACAAAGUAAUCAGUUACAAGAGAUUGUUCAACGUCCAUUUCUAAAAACACCCAUAACAUAUAAAAAGAAAUAUUGUAAGAAAUUAUUUAAUUAUAUUUUAAAUUUAAAAACUACAUAAAUUAUUUUUUUUAUUCUUAAGAAUCAGUAGAAAUUAAAAUUAUAAUUAUAUUAACAUCAUUUAGCAUAUUUCUAUUUAGAAUUCCAUAUAUCGACAUAUAUAUAUAUAUAUUAUUAUUAUUAUUAUUAUAAAAUUGAAUUAUAUAAGACCAAAUAUAAUUUUAAAUACAUAAUUGUAUUACAUAUAAUUAAUAUUGGACACAAUAUUUAGAAUUUUGACGCUUUCCAUGAUAACUUCGUAAGCUUCCGCCAUGGGUUCGAUUCUCCUUGGCCACUCAUAGAAGUUUUAAGUGGCAAGAAAACCCAGAUUUCUAUGGGCCUUUUGGUGAUUAGUUCUUUGGCCUAGAAAGUCUUUGGGAUCACACCAAGGUUAUAAAAAAAAAAAACUUCGUAUUUUCAUAAUUGAUAUUGUAUUAGUUAUGAUGCUAGCGUCGAAAUAGGUAAAUUUUCUGAAUGGUAUUGAUUUAGGAAGUUAUCUCUCUUUCUGAUUUAGUGCACCAAUAUAUUUUAAAGAUACUAACUAUAAUAUCUUUAAUUACGAUUAUUAUCUAUAACAUUUUAAUAUAUGAAUAUUAUGAUUUUUUGGGUUUGUAGGAAUUUGAUUAUGUUUGUCAAAUUAAUUUUGCCGGUUUACGUCUGUCUAUUUAAGUUCGCUGGUUUUAUUAUGUUAUAAACGAUGACUGUCAUACAUAAUAAUAAAAAGUUAGUACUAAAUACCAAAUGUAUUUCUAUUUUAAUAAUUUAGAUAAAAUAAUUUUAUUGAUAUGAUUUACUAUUUACGUAUAUAAUAGUUAGGUAGUUAUGAAUUUUGUGUGCCUAUAAUUAAGGCGAUUAAUCACGCACAUAUGCUGAAUUCCUAUUAUCUACAAUUAAAUUAAAUCUAUAGGAACAAAGAAUUUGGAAUGAUGGUGAAUCAUGCAGAAGAUACUAUAAAAAAUAGUGGUUAUCUAAAUUAUAGGAACUUGUUAGUAAUUAUUUCAUUUACGGAAAUCAAGCUUUAUUGUGAAUAGUAAAUUUUCGUUAGAUCAAUUGAUGAUCUUUAUACCAGCAAUAUAUUGUUUACAUAUACAUGAUUGUGAAUCACAAUUUGUGAUAUCUUGUUUAGCAUGUAUAUACUGUUUAUAUGAUGAUCUCCAUAUGCUUAAGAAAUUGUGAUGAAUAGUUUGGUUUGGUUUGUAAUUGGCAGUUCUAAUAGAAAAAACUACCGGUCGUACGUUUAGUGGAGUAUUGGAUUGGAAUAAUUAUGUGCUGGUUGCUCAACUAUUAAAACUGGAGUAUUGGUUUCGAAUGAUGUAAGUACGUGCUGGUCUAAUUUUUUUAAUACGAUUGUAUAUGGAACGGGAUGGUUUAACGUUUUUUUGGUAUAGAAAAUAAAUGGGUUAAGGAAAGUGUAAAACUACUGUGUUUAAGGCCAGUGGCAUAUAAUUGUAAUUAUUGAGAAAAACUUAGGGUGAAGAUUUAUUUGUACUUCAGUUUUACUAGUUUAGAUAUAAUAACCCCCAAUUAAUAAAAUAAACAUGUAAGUGUAAAAUAAUCUAUGACAAUAUAUAAGUGGACGCACCCCAUCCUCAAGAAAAUAUACUACCAACCUCUAACUUAAAAUUCUCCAACAAGAAAAUAUACUACCAACCUCUAACUUAAAAUUCACCAUCAAUCCAAGAACAGAGGCAACACUAUGAUCAAUUAAUAAAAUAGUUUAGAUAUAAUAACCCCUAAUUAAUAAAAUAAACAUGUAAGUGUAAAAUAAUCUAUGACAAUAUAUAAGUGGACGCAUCCCAUCCUCAAGAAAAUAUACUACCAACCUCUAACUUAAAAUUCUCCAACAAGAAAAUAUACUACCAACCUCUAACUUAAAAUUCACCAUCAAUCCAAGAACACAGGCAUCACUAUGAUCAACUCCGAGAAUGUCGGUAUCAUCCUCACAGCAUUAAUCUUAUGCUUCUCCAUUUCCAUAUUAUCCGAAAGUGAACCCAUCCCGUUUCAGAUGCAACUCGAUCGAUGGGAAGUAUUGCUACCGAGCAUCGGUAUAUCCGCCAUGCACAUGCAACUCCUCCACAACGGCAUGGUCAUAAUGUUUGACCGUACCGAUUUUGGAAUCUCGAAUCUUUCUCUACCAGGAGGCAUGUGUCGAUUUGAUCCUAGUGACACUGCGGUCAAGUUCGAUUGCUCCGCGCAUUCGGUUCUCUACGACAUUGUCUCUAACACAUACCGUGCCUUGAAAGUCCAAACCGAUACAUGGUGUUCUUCUGGUUCGGUUCUUCCCAACGGAACAUUGGUUCAAACUGGUGGAUACAACGACGGUGAGCGCGCUGCUCGAAUGUUUACACCAUGUGGUUAUAGUGAAACAUGUGACUGGAUCGAGUUUCCUCAGUAUCUAGCCCAACGUAGAUGGUAUGCCACCAAUCAAAUUUUACCUGAUGGACGGAUAAUUGUGGUCGGGGGAAGAAGACAAUUCAACUUUGAAAUUUUCCCUCGACCUGAUUCUCACGGUUAUAGAGGGUCAAGAUUUGAUUUUCUUAGAGAAACUACCGAUGGAAGUAGCGAGAACAACUUGUAUCCGUUCCUUUAUCUCUUACCCGAUGGAAACUUAUUCGUCUUCGCUAACACAAGAUCCAUUGUGUUUGAUUACAAAAUGAACCGGAUCGUGAGAGAGUUUCCAGAGAUUCCAGGUGGUGAUCCAAGAAACUAUCCAAGCAGUGGCUCUUCCAUACUUUUUCCAUUAGAUGAAAGCAAGAAUAUUAUGGAGGCUGAGAUUAUGGUUUGUGGAGGAGCUCCAAAAGACGCUUUUCCACGAGCAAAAAGCCAACAAGGAUUCAGACGUGCCACUUCCACGUGUGGAAGGCUAAGGCUAACUAGUCUGAAUCCAAUCUGGGAAAUGGAGACCAUGCCAUUGCCACGUGUAAUGGGGGACAUGCUGCUCUUACCAACGGGUGAUAUCAUUAUUGUAAACGGUGCAGGAGCUGGUACAGCCGGGUGGGAGAAUGCCCGUGACCCGGUAACCCGACCCGUGAUAUAUCACCCAUUUGAUCGCCGCUUCUCAAUUAUGUCCACAUCAUCGCGUCCUAGGAUGUACCAUUCGUCUGCAGUUUUGUUACCGGACGGUCGGGUUUUAGUCGGUGGUAGUAAUCCUCACAUUUAUUACAACUUCACCAACGUCGAGUAUCCAACGGAAUUAAGCCUCGAGGCUUACUCUCCUCCCUACCUCUCUUUCACGUCUGACUCAAUAAGACCACAUAUAUUGACCAACGACAAAGUAAUCAGUUACAAGAGAUUGUUCAACGUCNN